AACGCAACUUGCACUCUUGGCGUAAGUCAAGAGUAUACCUGUUUGAGAAUUGUAUCCCCUUCACACCAUAUGGUGCGGACUUGAUCAUCCUAAUCAGAUGAUUUAAAUGAAGGAGAGGAGCGUCAAGCUUCAACGCACCCCUAGUGUGAUAGAGACCUCUGGGUCUACUCACUAUAGGUGUUAGUUGUUUGACACUAAGCCCCUCUAUAAACUUCUUCUCUUCAAUCUCAAAUCAGGUAAGGCUACCCGCUGAACUUAA
RNAcentral lists this unclassified non-coding RNA (259 nucleotides) under uncultured fungus. RNAcentral describes it as "partial contains 5.8S rRNA and ITS2". Lineage: Eukaryota; Fungi. The record is from RNAcentral.